RNAcentral lists this long non-coding RNA (299 nucleotides) under Parus major (Great Tit). RNAcentral's name for it is "lncRNA (ENSPMJG00000014345.1)". The record is from RNAcentral. Lineage: Eukaryota; Metazoa; Chordata; Aves; Passeriformes; Paridae.
UGCAGAUCUUAAACUGACUAAUAUUCAGCUUUUCUUGCAGCCGAUGGAGCAGGAUUCGUUCUUCAAAAUAAUUCAUCUGGUUCCCUAGACCUAAUCAGGAAAGGAUCAUGUCUAGACAACUCUAAAAUGCUGAAAGAGGGUCAAGACUUGCUGAACAACUCUCAAGCCUGUUUCUUCUAAACAGAGAAAGAUUGCUUGGAGAAACCUGAAGCUGAAAAUUGCUGGAAAUAGAAAAUUGAAAAAAAUAUCUUUGUAUGAAGGACCUGUACCACAUCACAAGCGUGUAUUCAAAGAUGUGU